AGCUUUGCGCAGUGUGAGUAUCAUAGCCAAUGAGGUUUAUCCGAGGCGUGAUUAUUGCUAAUGGAAAACUUUUCCCAAUCCCCCGACUUGAAAUACAGUCGGCAUUGGCACCAA
This 114-nucleotide small nuclear RNA is filed under the name Salvator merianae (Argentine black and white tegu). Its description in RNAcentral is "U4 spliceosomal RNA (ENSSMRG00000002186.1)". It matches the Rfam family "U4 spliceosomal RNA". Rfam says of the family: U4 small nuclear RNA (U4 snRNA) is a component of the major U2-dependent spliceosome. The structure of U4 snRNA from yeast and human has been reported. U4 snRNA presents a k-turn RNA motif in the 5p-SL related to recognition of Snu13 protein. The record is from Rfam by way of RNAcentral. Lineage: Eukaryota; Metazoa; Chordata; Lepidosauria; Squamata; Teiidae.